RNAcentral lists this transfer RNA (74 nucleotides) under Rhodobacter sp. RNAcentral's name for it is "tRNA-Cys". It matches the Rfam family "tRNA". Rfam says of the family: Transfer RNA (tRNA) molecules are approximately 80 nucleotides in length. Their secondary structure includes four short double-helical elements and three loops (D, anti-codon, and T loops). Lineage: Bacteria; Pseudomonadati; Pseudomonadota; Alphaproteobacteria; Rhodobacterales. RNAcentral also lists the same sequence under 1 other name. The record is from RNAcentral.
GGUGAGUUGGCGGAGAGGCUACGCAGCGGACUGCAAAUCCGUGUACACCGGUUCGAAUCCGGUACUCACCUCCA